CUGCCCAAGGUGCUGCCCAUGUGCAACUUGCUGCCCAAGUUGUUGCAGAAAAGGAAGGUGGCGCGCAGAUGACUCUCAGAAGAGGAAAGCGCGCAGAUUGUUUCUGAAUAGGAAGGAUGCACGAAUUUUGAUCUUCAAAGGGGAAGAUAUGCUUGUCCAUACAUUCCUUUUUAGGUGGAGCCUCUUUUGAAAUUUGAAUAUUGAAUGUAGAAGAGGAAGAGCAUCUCUUUGAGAUCUUGCUGCCUAAAUAGGAAGAUAUUACUGCUGCAGUGUGUGCACAUCUUUGAACUAGGAAAGAAAGAUAUGCGAUUUGAAUUUCAAAUAAUCUUCUGACUGAGCUUUCCUUGUUUGCUUUUGC
Molecule: long non-coding RNA, 358 nt
Filed under: Manihot esculenta (cassava)
Lineage: Eukaryota; Viridiplantae; Streptophyta; Magnoliopsida; Malpighiales; Euphorbiaceae
Description: long non-coding RNA (MESC_LNC010080)
Source: RNAcentral